RNAcentral lists this long non-coding RNA (502 nucleotides) under Callithrix jacchus (white-tufted-ear marmoset). Its description in RNAcentral is "lncRNA (ENSCJAG00000078633.1)". The record is from RNAcentral. Lineage: Eukaryota; Metazoa; Chordata; Mammalia; Primates; Cebidae.
AUGUGGAUGUUUAAAUUUCUUCCCCUCUCCCACACCAGCCUUUGGCUCAGUGUAAGCCAGUGAAUGUGAGGCACAUUUCCGGCCUUACGUCCUCUUCAUACUACAUAUUUCCAUCUCAGGCCCCUCAUCAUAUUUGGGAGAAAAUUGAAGGAGGAGUUGGAAGAACUGGUUUGAAAGUUUUAAUGAUACCAUUUUUUAAAACAAACUCUCACUGAGUGUCAGGUUUGGGACCAGAUGCAAGGAAAGCAGAGGGGGAAUAAUGCAUAUUUACUGGUUAAACAGAGGUUGGAUUCAUGAAGGAUACUGGAAGCAUAGAUCAUCUGCUAAAUCACACUACUUCCUGGAAGAAGUCUUGCUGCCUCCUGUCUCUCCAGCAUAGUGCUUUCCACAGAGUAGACGCUGAAUACAUAUGCAAUGUUUGGAUGGAAGAACAAUGAGUAGAAGCAUGGGGAGCUUGGUUGCUGACCUAGACACAACAGGUGAAGGGGGUGUUUCUAGUUCU